CUUUUUCUUUUCCUUUUAGAUGAUUGAUGGCAAUAAAAGAAGUGGUCGGUAUUAAUAUAUCUUGAUUCAAAUGGUUCAUCACUUACUCUCAGAUCUUAGAUUUGAUUUUUGUAAGUAAAAAAAAAAAUUAUGCUUAAAAAAUAUUAAUGCUUAAUGAGCCGGUCAGGUUCAAAUUGAAUUUUGGCACUCGCCCAUUGAAUUUUUGGGACAUGAAGACGCACAUCGAAAUGAAGAAGCCGCUAGUUUGGUGGAAAAAAGCCGAACGAUAGGAUUACUAACCCAGUGGCGAAUAUUAUCGGCCUUCAGCCCAAUGGGGAAAGCCCAGUAGGCAUUCAUCUCAAACCCCGCAGUCGGAAACCUCGUCCCUAUCGUCGAGUUCGCCGUCCGCCUUACCAGCCGAGACCCCCGACUGUCUGCCGCCAUACUCAUCAUCACCCUGCCCCAGCGUCCCAUAGUCUCUGCCUAUGUGCAAUCAUGCGCCGCCACAGCUAUCCCCGGCGUCCGCUUCGUCCACCUCCCCGCAGUGGACCCGCCGACGCCGGACCAGUUCCUGUCAUCCAUCGGCUACAUCUCCGUCUACAUACAGAGACGGAGAUGGGCACACGUGGCUCAUCCACCAUGCUCGCAGAUACAGAGAACUGGAGGGUAUUGUCAUAAAUACGUUCCAAGAACUUGAACCCUUUGCGCUCAGCUCAUUGUCGAGGAGUCUAUCUCCGCCGGUAUAUGCAAUCGGGCCAGUUCUCGACCUCAAUGGACCAAUCCAGUGGCACCCGAACCGGGCCCAACAAGUGGCGAUAAUGCAGUGGCUUGACCAGCAGCCGCGGUCGAGGGUUGUGUUCCUGUGCUUCGGGAGCAUGGGGAGCCUCAGUGUGCCGCAGGUGAGAGAGAUUGCAGCCGGACUGGAACAGUCGGGGCAGCGGUUCUUAUGGUCCUUGCGAGAACCACCAAAAGGCAAAAUCCACCUUCCAACUGAUUACUCGAACUUCAAUGAUGUAUUAUCUAAGGACUUCCUGGAGCGGACAGCUGAGAUUGGUCUAGUGUGUGGAUGGGUCCCGCAGGUGACAGUAUUGGCACAUCCGGCAAUAGGAGGGUUCGUCUCCCAUUGCGGCUGGAACUCGAUUCUCGAGAACCUGUGGCACGGGGUCCCAAUCGCCACGUGGCCAGUCUAUGCGGAGCAGCAAAUGAAUGCGUUUGAGAUGGUGAGGGAACUAGGAUUAGCAGUAGAGAUCAGGUUGGAUUACAGGGAGGGCAGCGAUCUGGUGCGAGCCGAGGAGGUAGAGAGAGGGGUUCGGGCUCUGAUGGAAGGUGAUGGUGAUGUGAGAAGAAAGGUCAAGGAGAUGAGCAAAAUGAGCCAGACUACUGUGAUGGAGGGUGGAUCAUCCGAUGGAUCAUUAGAUUCUCUCGAUAUCCCUUACCACUGUCAUCAUGGGUUGGAGAUGACUGCUGUUCGUGGAAGGGAGUCAGAUGCAGCGAAUGCGUGGGCCACCUCCUGAAGCUCGACCUUCGAAGUCCAUGAUCUGCAUCCUGAUUCCAGCAUCCUUAUGCUACAUAAAAGAAUUGUCCUUUCUAGGGCUACACGGCAAUGCCUUCGGUGGGAGUGUCCCCAAAUGCUGCAGUGCUUCCGGAAG
Non-coding RNA from Punica granatum (pomegranate), 1628 nucleotides. The record is from RefSeq and is a predicted model, not a curated record. Lineage: Eukaryota; Viridiplantae; Streptophyta; Magnoliopsida; Myrtales; Lythraceae.